CGGACGGGUGAGUAACGCGUAGGUAUCUAUCCUUGGGUGGGGGGACAACUGUGGGAAACUACAGCUAAUACCGCAUGACGACUGAGGUCCAAAGCAGCAAUGCGCCUGAGGAGGAGCCUGCGUACGAUUAGCUAGUUGGUGGGGUAAAGGCCUACCAAGGCGACGAUCGUUAGCUGGUCUGAGAGGAUGAUCAGCCACAUUGGGACUGAGACACGGCCCAA
RNAcentral lists this ribosomal RNA (221 nucleotides) under uncultured bacterium. RNAcentral describes it as "partial 16S ribosomal RNA". It matches the Rfam family "Bacterial small subunit ribosomal RNA", at positions 99 to 334 of the family's 1533-position model. The record is from RNAcentral.